AAGUUGGUCAGUUUUGAUGGAUCAAGAAUUUUUUCAGGACUUUUUUUCCUAUUGAUUAAGGAGUGAAAACGGGCUGAACUAGACCAUUUGAAGCUUUAAGAAGGACUUUCUUCCAGCAAACACUAAAACUGGAGGCUUCAUCGGCAAACAGAAGAAGUGCAAUGGAACCUCGGUUACCCUAAAGAGAGACAGAGGAUUUGAUUUUCCUCCACGCCAGUUGUCAAGGCAACUAAAUUCACACCCCACCCACAAACAUCUCGGUUUUAAAAGAGAGGAAGUGUCAAUUGGUCUGGAUUUAUGAUGGUGCUGGUUGUGAUUGAUCAAGAACCUUCGAGACCAUUGCGCUAGAUUGAUACGGUCCGGGAAUUUGAGCUUCUCAUCCUCCGAGCGUUCCAUUGUGAUGGCGCCACUCAUGCCACGUACCCCGCCCUCCAAGUCACACCCUCGCCGGACACCGCCCCCUUUCACCUCUCGGGCAGCUUGACCCGAUCCUCCUAAGCUGAUAUUGGCCACUGGAGCUCGUCGGUAGAUUACACCAGUGUCCUUCAAGCCAUGACUACUCGAACUAGAGGCCAUUUUGGGAUGGCCGAACACGGCAAACGAGGAAAGCCGGAUUUUCUUAAAUGAGUCGCUUGGAACCUGCCUCGAGUAAUUCUACUUCCUCUGAAUCCGAGUGGAGCCAAUGGAACGAACCGUCGAUUGAUUAAACAUUUUCCAUCCACC
Molecule: long non-coding RNA, 723 nt
Organism: Tigriopus californicus
Lineage: Eukaryota; Metazoa; Arthropoda; Copepoda; Harpacticoida; Harpacticidae
Exons: 4
Source: RefSeq, a predicted model, not a curated record